This 379-nucleotide ribosomal RNA is filed under the name Pleosporales sp. H25. RNAcentral describes it as "bacterial SSU rRNA". It matches the Rfam family "Eukaryotic small subunit ribosomal RNA", at positions 20 to 375 of the family's 1831-position model. The record is from RNAcentral. Lineage: Eukaryota; Fungi; Ascomycota; Dothideomycetes; Pleosporales.
GUAGUCAUAUGCUUGUCUCAAAGAUUAAGCCAUGCAGUCUAGUAUAAGCAUUAUACCGUGAAUGCGAAUGGCUCAUUAAAUCAGUUAUCGUUUAUUUGAUAGUACCUUACUACUUGGAUAACCGUGGUAAUUCUAGAGCUAAUACAUGCUGAAAACCCCAACUUCGGGAGGGGUGUAUUUAUUAGAUAAAAAACCAACGCCCUUCGGGGCUUCUUGGUGAUUCAUGAUAACUUUACGGAUCGCAUGGCCUUGCGCCGGCGACGGUUCAUUCAAAUUUCUGCCCUAUCAACUUUCGAUGGUAAGGUAUUGGCUUCCAUGGUUCAACGGGUAACGGGGAAUGGGGCGGGGGCGGCGGGCCGGGCGCGGGGCGCGGCGGGCG